RNAcentral lists this long non-coding RNA (369 nucleotides) under Gossypium raimondii (Peruvian cotton). Its description in RNAcentral is "long non-coding RNA (GRAI_LNC007354)". The record is from RNAcentral. Lineage: Eukaryota; Viridiplantae; Streptophyta; Magnoliopsida; Malvales; Malvaceae.
UGGUGGCAAGGUCAAUGGUGCUAGAGAGCCAUGCCUUUGCCAUUUUGGUGCAACAGUGGCAGAUGAGGCGUUAGGUCUCGGACAGUAAGCCUACCGACGUGGCAUGGGGAGCGACACUAAAGGUAUUAGGGUUUUGCUAUUAGUUUAAGAUAGUGGGCCGUUAGAAUUUAGAUUUUUUGGCUUUUAAGGUGUUUUUGUAUUUGUAAAUGGACUUUUAAUAGAUUCUUUAUUUAUUUUUAUUUGUUUUUUUUUUGUUGGGCUGGACGAAAUUAGGGUACUACAAUAAUAAUUCAUUCAAUUUACUAAAUCAACAACAAAAUUCAAUCAUUUUAUGCAAUUUAGUCUUUUAUUACCAUUUUACAAAAUUAC